GUAGUCAUAUGCUUGUCUCAAAGAUUAAGCCAUGCAUGUCUAAGUAUAAGCAAUUAUACAGCGAAACUGCGAAUGGCUCAUUAUAUAAGUUAUCGUUUAUUUGAUAGUGCCUUACUACUUGGAUAACCGUGGUAAUUCUAGAGCUAAUACAUGCUAAAAAUCCCGACUUCGGAAGGGAUGUAUUUAUUAGAUUAAAAACCAAUGCCCUCUGGGCUCUUUGGUGAUUCAUGAUAACUUCUCGAAUCGCACGGCCUUGCGCCGGCGAUGGCUCAUUCAAAUUUCUUCCCUAUCAACUUUCGAUGUUUGGGUAGUGGCCAAACAUGGUUGCAACGGGUAACGGGGAAUG
RNAcentral lists this ribosomal RNA (346 nucleotides) under uncultured fungus. Its description in RNAcentral is "SSU rRNA". It matches the Rfam family "Eukaryotic small subunit ribosomal RNA", at positions 20 to 371 of the family's 1831-position model. The record is from RNAcentral. Lineage: Eukaryota; Fungi.